Molecule: non-coding RNA, 373 nt
Organism: Puma concolor (puma)
Lineage: Eukaryota; Metazoa; Chordata; Mammalia; Carnivora; Felidae
Source: RefSeq, a predicted model, not a curated record
UAGGUGCCCAAGCUGUUUUUUAGUUUUUUGGUGCAACAAGAAGCAUUGUCCUGAACACUAUGUUUUCCACUCGACCCUGCGUACAAAAAGUACAGCCCUCCUCAUAGAGUGGGAAGUAAGCCCGCGAGGAAGCCAGGCAGCUGGUGUCGAGCAGUUCUGUCCUCCAAAAUAAGACACAGUGCCUGACUUCAAACAAUCUACUGGAGAACAGAUCUUACACAGACCCAGCGUCACACUGUGUGUGGAAUGCUUUCUGAACAGCCAUCCUGGAAUGUGAGGAUGUAGAAGUAUGGAUGAAGAACAUGAAUACCACGUUCUGGAGUUGGAGGCAUAACAGGGGCGCCUGGGUGGCUCAGUCGGUUAAGCGUCCGAC